Heterocephalus glaber (naked mole-rat) is the source of this 3897-nucleotide non-coding RNA. Lineage: Eukaryota; Metazoa; Chordata; Mammalia; Rodentia; Bathyergidae. The record is from RefSeq and is a predicted model, not a curated record.
GUGGGGCACGCCUGUAAUCCCAGCACUCGGGAGGCUGAGGCAGGAAGAUCACCAUGAAUGUGAGGCCAGCCUGGGCUACAUAGUGAGACCCUAUCUCAAACAAACAAAAAAGUGAAAUAGCUCUUUUCAUUUUUUAAGAAGGGUUUCUUUCCUUGUAGUACUGGCUACACCCCAUGCUACUGAUGUUGGGAUAUCGCUCCUAAAACAAAGCACCCUGAAGCCAAGGCCCAGAGCUGUUUUUUUCAUUUUUGCCUCAAAUUACAGAAAGGAAUAGUUUUUAAGACCUGCUGAGGACUUCAGUGUGGGUAGGGAAGAUGGAGGGAAAGAGAGGGAAAAAGAGAAAUUUUCAAAAUUAAUUAUUGAUGGCUACUCAGUGGACCUCUUAACACCUUGAGGCAUUUUAAAUGCCUGAAAAGGAGACGCUGCUUAUAAAAAUGCUGUGUAUCUUCCCUGCAGGUGGAUCAAAGACGAAGACGUUCCGACUCUCCUUCAACCAGGCAUUCAGUGCCCAAAGGAAACUGAAACUCGGGGUCAGCCAGCGUCUGCGGCUCUGUUAACACCCCCAGCUCCCGGUGAGCUGAGCUCCCGCUCUGCAACCAGGCACCGAGGGCCGGGCCGCGUCCACCAGGUGGCAAUGCAGAACGCGAAGAGCCGCCCCGAGCCCAGCUCCAUCUGGCCGGCCAGGAAUCCGCAGGAGUGGGCCUGAGAGUGUACUGCUGGCUCCCGGCAGGCUUCCGCCUCUUCUCGGGGCAUCCCGGCCUCUACUUCUACCGCGGAUAGGCUGGCCUUUAAAAUCACUAACAUCCUUGACUGGCAGUGCAGCUGAGCGGAGCUGGGGAAGGUCAAAGCCGCGGUGCCCUCUGGAUCUAUCCAGGAGAGCUGGGGAUCGAGCCUAGGAUGCUCAACCAGCGAGCUACACCCACACCCCAGCAGCAGUAUUUUUUUGGAGUAGCUUGGCCGUGUGUUCACUCAACGGAUAAAAGCAGCAGUGCCUGCUCAUCUUCAGGGGAUGCUUACAAAGUGCCCAGGGGAUGCUGGAAACCACAGAUCUUACCAAACCCUAUAUAUACCAUGCUUCUUCCUAAACAUACAUACCUAAGGUAUCCCAUCUCCAUGCCACUUUCUGCAGCAGUUCGGGAAGCCUUCUUUCAUAUCUUUAUUAGGUGCAAUAAAAAAUACGGUAAAUGCUGCUGCUGAGGGCCUUCCAGCAGAAAGGCAGGCUCAUAAAAACAUUCAGUGCGUCCUCAACCAUCUUAUUCAUCACAUCUGGCACCCUGAGGCUUCCGGCUCUUCCCCAAAGUCAAAAUGACCAUGAAAAGGAAACAUUUUGAAUGGAUUCAGGACAUCAAGGCAGCCAUGAAGAUGUAGCUAAAGACACUCGCGAAAGAGGACUUCCAGAAGUGCUUCAGAAAGGGCCGAGAACGAUGGGAUAAGUGUGUUUGAAGCAAGAGGGAUAUUUUGAGGAGGAUUAAUGACCAUAUGUCUUCACUAUAGUUAUUUUUUCUUAAUUUAAACAUUCAUUUUAUCAUGCCUCAUGAUAAAGUUUAACUUCUAAAUUAGGCACGGUAAGAGGUCUGCAGCAAUAACUAAUAAUAAAAUAGAGCAACUGUAACAAUAUGCUGCAGUAAAAGUUGUGUGAAUGUGAUUCCUCUCUACGCAUGUUGCUGUGCCGUGCUUGGCCUCCUGGUGAUGCUGUGGGAUGACACGGUGCCUCAGUGAUGACAGCAUCAGCACUACCUGAGGGUGGCUCUAACACAAGCACAGCAGUGUAAGGCAGUUGAUUUGGCAACCGCCGGCUCUGCCAAGUAAAGAACAGGAGGGCAGCAUAGACCAUGUGGAAACACCAAGCAAGGGGAUGGGAGAGGGGCAGCCUGUGGUGGACAGGACUGUCCUCAUUAGGGCAGAGACAGGCGCCUGCCUGGGAGACAUUCAGGCAGGGGCGCCAGCUUCAGAGUGUCCAUGAGAAGAAAGGUUUAGGCCAGAGCUAAUUGCAUUGAGCAAGGUCUCCUAAAGAUGGUACUAACAUGGGGAAGAAAAGUACAAGGAAAAGAAAGGAAGGCCCAGGCCCCAGUGGAGAGGAAUGUCCAUCCACCUUUAAGAACAGGAACAGAAUGCUGGUUGCGGUGGCCAUGAUUUAAUCCCAGAACUCUGGAGGCUGAGAUAGAAACAUCCCAAGUUCAAACCCAGCCUGCCUGGGCAACUUAGCAACUUAAUGAGACUCUGUGUCAAGAUAAAAGAUAAAACAAGAUCUGGGCUGUAGCUCAGUGCAAAGACCCGGAGUUCAAUCUCCCUCCCCCCAAAUAGAGUAGGCACAGGAGAGAAGCAUGUGUAGCAAGGUCGUUGAAACACCACCAGAGUGUGGCAUCCAGCGAGACCCGGGCGGAGUGUGGUCGGUGGGAGGAACGGCCGUAUUGAAGCAGUUGGUGCAGGGGAAGCUCUCGACAGCAGCCCAGGGCAGAGCGUUGCGCCUAGAGAUGGAAUGGCACUUCUCUAGACGUGCUACCCAGCUACCUUCUUUAUUUUCCAGGAGGACUUUUAGCCACAGAACUAUAAAACUGGCCCGAUUGGGAAAAUACUUUUUUUCAAAACAGUGAGGUGGCUGGGCUUUCUGUAGUCGCCAGCUCAGCAGGAGCCAUGGGUACCAUCUUCUCCCUGGCGCCUGCUCAUGAACUUGGGCAUCCCUCGAGGGACACUCAGGCAUCCAGCACUGGGGACCGCGGGGAACCUCUAGGUAUUCCUAACCACCUGCGAGCCACCCACCCACCUGUCCAUCUCACUUUUUGGAUGUGUUUCAAAGUAAGUUCUUUUACAUCAGAACAUUUCACAGCCAAACACUUUAGCAUCCACAUUGUAACUAGAGUUUAAUAUCUGUAGUUGUAUCUUCAAGAGAUAGUUCCUUUGCUUUCGAGGUAAAAUUUUAAAAUAGUGAAAUGCACAAAUCUCAAGUAUACUGUCUGAACCUUUUUGGGUAUUGUUUUCUUUUUUUUGGUACCGGGGAUUGAACUCAGGACCUUGCAUUUUCGAGGCAGGCUCAGUGCCACUGAGCUAAAUCCCUGGCCCUUAGAAGCUUUUUGACAAAUGCAUAUCCCAACCCCGUCCUACCAGGUGACAGAAUAUCACAUCACCCCAGAGCAUGUAUCCCCACUGCUUCACCAUCAGAGAGGGCAGCGGAUGUUAGGAAAGAACCCUGGUUAUCUCAGUCUAAUUUCUCUUGCUGUUACAAAACACUCAAGCUGGGUAAUGUAUGAAGAAAAGAGGUUUCUUUUGCUCACAGCUUUGGAGGUUCAGGGGGUUGUGCCACAUAGGCCUCGCCCUGGUGAGAACCUCGUGGAAGGUGUCGCCUCAAGCCAGGGGUGUGUGCAUGAGGGAGAGGUCACAUGGGGAUUCCGGAAGCCAGAGAGAGGGGAGGGGUCAGGCUCGCUCUUGUAGAGCAGCCUUCUCUGGGCGCACAGGUGCCUGGAGAGCCCCAUGCUCUCCUCCCGGGGCAGCGCCCCCGAGGAUCCUGUCGCUUCCCACCCCGAGGACAUCGCCCCGCAUGGACACUCAAGCUCGGCCCAGACCUCCGCUUCUACCCCGGGGCUCUAUCUGAUUCACCCACAUGUUCGCCAAGCGAGAAGUCAAGACUGAGGUCUUCCUAAAAGUGCUUCUGUAAACAUUUCACAGUAAAUGCUUUGCCAAGGACAGUGGUGUUCAGUGACCCGAGCCCAGCCUGGGCGUCGUCAUUCCUCACUCGGAAUCCUGCUCUGCUGGUGCUAAGAAAGUCGCUGGCAGAGUCCCUGACGCGUGGGAUGGGACCAGCAGCCACCCGUGUUGCUGCCAUGUCAGAGACGUGCAAAACUCGCUGAGUAGCACCGGGGGAAAGGUAAAGACUUCAAUAGCGGGGCCCCAGCACUUCGC